RNAcentral lists this ribosomal RNA (626 nucleotides) under uncultured Enterobacteriaceae bacterium. Its description in RNAcentral is "bacterial SSU rRNA". It matches the Rfam family "Bacterial small subunit ribosomal RNA", at positions 636 to 1261 of the family's 1533-position model. The record is from RNAcentral. Lineage: Bacteria; Pseudomonadati; Pseudomonadota; Gammaproteobacteria; Enterobacterales; Enterobacteriaceae.
GCAAGCUUGAGUCUCGUAGAGGGGGGUAGAAUUCCAGGUGUAGCGGUGAAAUGCGUAAAGAUCUGGAGGAAUACCGGUGGCGAAGGCGGCCCCCUGGACGAAGACUGACGCUCAGGUGCGAAAGCGUGGGGAGCAAACAGGAUUAGAUACCCUGGUAGUCCACGCCGUAAACGAUGUCGACUUGGAGGUUGUGCCCUUGAGGCGUGGCUUCCGAGCUAACGCGUUAAGUUGACCGCCUGGGGAGUACGGCCGCAAGGUUAAAACUCAAAUGAAUUGACGGGGGCCCGCACAAGCGGUGGAGCAUGUGGUUUAAUUCGAUGCAACGCGAAGAACCUUACCUGGUCUUGACAUCCACGGAAGUUUUCAGAGAUGAGAAUGUGCCUUCGGGAACCGUGAGACAGGUGCUGCAUGGCUGUCGUCAGCUCGUGUUUGAAAUGUUGGGUUAAGUCCCGCAACGAGCGCAACCCUUAUCCUUUGUUGCCAGCGGUCCGGCCGGGAACUCAAAAGGAGACUGCCAGUGAUAAACUGGAGGAAAGGUGGGGAUGACGUCAAGUCAUCAUGGCCCCUUACGACCAGGGCUACACACGUGCUACAAUGGCGCAUACAAAGAGAAGCGUGAUUUAGGG